GAUCAUGGCUCAGGAUGAACGCUGGCGGCGUGCCUAACACAUGCAAGUCGAGCGAUUCUCUUCGGAGAAGAGCGGCGGACGGGUGAGUAACGCGUGGGUAACCUGCCUCAUACACAUGGAUAACAUACCGAAAGGUAUGCUAAUACAGGAUAAUAUAAGAGAUUCACAUGGAUUUCUUAUCAAAGCUCCGGCGGUAUGAGAUGGACCCGCGUCUGAUUAGCUAGUUGGUAAGGUAACGGCUUACCAAGGCGACGAUCAGUAGCCGACCUGAGAGGGUGAUCGGCCACAUUGGAACUGAGACACGGUCCAAACUCCUACGGGAGGCAGCAGUGGGGAAUAUUGCACAAUGGGCGAAAGCCUGAUGCCAGCAACGCCGCGUGAGUGAUGAAGGCCUUCGGGUCGUAAAACUCUGUCCUCAAGGAAGAUAAUGACGGUACUUGAGGAGGAAGCCCCGGCUAACUACGUGCCAGCAGCCGC
RNAcentral lists this ribosomal RNA (477 nucleotides) under uncultured bacterium. RNAcentral's name for it is "bacterial SSU rRNA". It matches the Rfam family "Bacterial small subunit ribosomal RNA", at positions 15 to 518 of the family's 1533-position model. The record is from RNAcentral.